UUGGAGGGCAAGUCUGGUGCCAGCAGCCGCGGUAAUUCCAGCUCCAAUAGCGUAUAUUAAAGUUGUUGCAGUUAAAAAGCUCGUAGUUGAAUUUCGGGGUUAGUAGGUUGGUCGUGCCUCAGGUAUGUACUGAUCUCACUGAUUCCUCCUUCCUGAUGAACCGUAAUGCCAUUAAUUUGGUGUUGCGGGGAAACUGGACUGUUACUUUGAAAAAAUUAGAGUGUUUAAAGCAGGCUAACGCUUGAAUACAUUAGCAUGGAAUAAUGAAAUAGGACGUUCGAUCCUAUUUUGUUGGUUUCUAGGAUUGACGUAAUGAUUAAUAGGGAUAGUUGGGGGCAUUAGUAUUCAAUUGUCAGAGGUGAAAUUCUUGGAUUUAUUGAAGACUAACUACUGCGAAAGCAUUUGCCAAGGAUGUUUUCAUUAAUCAAGGACGAAAGUUAGGGGAUCGAAGACGAUCAGAUACCGUCGUAGUCUUAACCAUAAACUAUGCCGACUAGGGAUCGGAUGAUGUUAAUUUUUUAAUGACUCAUUCGGCGCCUUACGGGAAA
This 548-nucleotide ribosomal RNA is filed under the name uncultured Glomeromycotina. RNAcentral describes it as "SSU rRNA". It matches the Rfam family "Eukaryotic small subunit ribosomal RNA", at positions 548 to 1097 of the family's 1831-position model. Lineage: Eukaryota; Fungi; Glomeromycota. The record is from RNAcentral.